Molecule: long non-coding RNA, 349 nt
Organism: Neoarius graeffei (lesser salmon catfish)
Lineage: Eukaryota; Metazoa; Chordata; Actinopteri; Siluriformes; Ariidae
Exons: 3
Source: RefSeq, a predicted model, not a curated record
AGGUCAUACUGGCAUCCUUAAAACAUGGGCAGCAAUCUCUUCCAGGUUCUACUGGACCGGGAUGUCUGUAGACAUAAAAAAUUGGAUCUUAGAAUGUGACAGAUGCCAAAAGGUUGGAAAACCAUUGACUGCAGUGGGGGAGUUGCAGCCGAUAAAGGUCUCUGGCGUGUGGGAUUUGAUUGGGAUCGACCUUACUGGACCACUUCCCAAAACUGUCAAUGGCUUUCAAUACAUUUUGACAGCUACUGAUUUUUUUUCCAAGUGGGUGGAAGCUUUUCCACUCAAGUCCAAAUCAGCUGCAGAAGUUGCAAGAUUUAUUCACGUUUUCAUAAAGUUAAUAAAUAUAUUU